Molecule: long non-coding RNA, 1004 nt
Organism: Brachypodium distachyon (stiff brome)
Lineage: Eukaryota; Viridiplantae; Streptophyta; Magnoliopsida; Poales; Poaceae
Exons: 2
Source: RefSeq, a predicted model, not a curated record
AGCAGCCACCCUCUCUCCUUUCUCUCUUCCUUCUCCGUCCCGACGCCUCCUCUCCCUCUCUUCUGCUCUUCCCCCAAGCCCCUCCCGGCCUCCCCUCCCCGAGCCCCUACCCGAGCGCCUCCCCCUCCCUCGAACUCCUGCCUCUCUUUUCCUCCCACGCGCGUUCCCCUCCCUCGAGCUCCUGCAGCAGCGGCCGCGGAGGACAAUGGCGGCAGUGCUUGGAGGCCGUUCACCGGCGCCCCCGACCUUGCCCGCGGUCGGAUCUGGCGCCCCCGACCCGGCCCCGACCUCCCUCGGCCGGCCGUGCCCGACCCCUGCCUCCUCCGGUCGACCUGGCCCCGACCCCGGCCACCAGUCGUCGCCGGAUCCGCCGCCCCGACCCCCCUGCUGCCGCCGGAUCCCGGCCUCCCUCUUCUCUCUUUCUCUCCCUCUCUGAUUUUCUCUCUUUUGCAGUGUAGGUCGUCGUGGAGGAACAAUUGUUCUACAGCCAUGGAGCGCCACCGUGGAGAGGAGCCCGUCCCUGCCUCCUCCGGGGAUCCGCCGUCGGGAGACGAGGAAGCCGCCGCCCCUGAGCCCGCCUGCCCCCGGAAUCGUUUCCAUCUUCCUCGAUUUGUUCGUGGCUGGCUCGGCUAGCAAUUUUGGCAAGCAAGUUGAUUGGCGAGUAGAUUUGUAUACGAACUUUAUUGUAUAUAGGAUCUGUACAAAUAUCUACUGCUGGAUAUUUAGUGAUUUGUUGUAUAUACAGAUUUGCUGUGAUAUUUGAUUUGUGAUUUGAUGAAUUAAUCAACACGCGGGCCUGUGGCCUGCCCUUUUUUAUAAUCUCGAAAACACACAUCACUGUCGGUCAGGGUUGCGCCCGCCAAUGAUGUCAUCACUGACGGUUCGCCUGGGCGUCCCGUUAGCGAUUAUUUUUCGACCGUUUCUGUAGGAGUGUUUGGACGGUGCAGAUUCGAUUUUUCUGUCAAGUUUGUGCCUUUAUAUGUAAUAGAACUGCAAAUAGAACG